Molecule: ribosomal RNA, 253 nt
Filed under: uncultured bacterium
Lineage: Bacteria
Description: partial 16S ribosomal RNA
Rfam family: Bacterial small subunit ribosomal RNA
Source: RNAcentral
UACGGAGGAUCCAAGCGUUAUCCGGAUUUAUUGGGUUUAAAGGGUGCGUAGGCGGAAGAAUAAGUCAGUGGUGAAAGUUUGCAGCUCAACUGUAAAAUUGCCGUUGAAACUGUUUUUCUUGAGUGUAAAUGAGGUAGGCGGAAUGUGUUGUGUAGCGGUGAAAUGCUUAGAUAUAACACAGAACACCAAUUGCGAAGGCAGCUUACUGGGAUACAACUGACGCUGAGGCACGAAAGCGUGGGGAUCAAACAGG